RNAcentral lists this ribosomal RNA (699 nucleotides) under uncultured archaeon. RNAcentral describes it as "bacterial SSU rRNA". It matches the Rfam family "Archaeal small subunit ribosomal RNA", at positions 53 to 758 of the family's 1478-position model. The record is from RNAcentral.
GCGAGUCUUUGUAGUAAUACAAGGCAGACGGCUCAGUAACACGUAGUCAACCUACCCUAUGGACAAGAAUAAUCUCGGGAAACUGGGCAUAAUUCUUGAUAGAUCAUAAUGCCUGGAAUGGUUUAUGGUUAAAAUGAUUCGUCGCCAUAGGAUGGGACUGCGGCCUAUCAGCUUGUUGGUGAGGUAAUGGCCCACCAAGGCGAUUACAGGUACGGGCUCUGAGAGGAGAAGCCCGGAGAUGGGUACUGAGACACGGACCCAGGCCCUAUGGGGCGCAGCAGGCGAGAAAACUUUGCAAUGUGCGAAAGCACGACAAGGUUAAUCCGAGUGAUUUCUGCUAAAGAAAUCUUUUGCCAGUCAUAAAACCACUGGUGAAUAAGGGGUGGGCAAGUUCUGGUGUCAGCCGCCGCGGUAAAACCAGCACCUCAAGUGGUCAGGAUGAUUAUUGGGCCUAAAGCAUCCGUAGCCGGCUUUGUUAGUUUUCGGUUAAAUCCAUGUGCUCAACGCAUGGGCUGCCGAAAAUACUGCAUAGCUAGGGAGUGGGAGAGGUAGACGGUACUCAAUAGGAAGGGGUAAAAUCCUUUGAUCUAUUGAUGACCACCUGUGGCGAAGGCGGUCUACCAGAACACGUUCGACGGUGAGGGAUGAAAGCUGGGGGAGCAAACCGGAUUAGAUACCCGGGUAGUCCCAGCUGUAAAC